GAUGAAGAACGCAGCGAAAUGGGAUAAGUAAUGUGAAUUGCAGAAUUCAGUGAAUCAUCGAAUCUUUGAACGCACAUUGCGCCCGCCAGUAUUCUGGCGGGCAUGCCUGUUCGAGCGUCAUUUCAACCAUCAAGCCCCCGGCUUGUGUUGGGGACCUGCGGCUGCCGCAGGCCCUGAAAAGCAGUGGCGGGCUCGCUGUCACACCGAGCGUAGUAGCAUACAUCUCGCUCUGGGCGUGCUGCGGGUUCCGGCCGUUAAACCACCUUCAUAACCCAAGGUUGACCUCGGAUCAGGUAGGAAGACCCGCUGAACUUAAGCAUAUCAAUAAGCGGAGGA
RNAcentral lists this unclassified non-coding RNA (336 nucleotides) under soil metagenome. RNAcentral describes it as "partial contains 5.8S ribosomal RNA, internal transcribed spacer 2, and large subunit ribosomal RNA". The stretch from base 1 to 120 matches the Rfam family "5.8S ribosomal RNA", at positions 35 to 154 of the family's 154-position model. The record is from RNAcentral.